UUAAAUGUCCCUUCUGAGAGAAUUUUUGUCCACAAACUGAGCAUGAAAAAGGUUUCUCGCCAGUGUGGGUUCUUGUGUGAUGUUUUAAGGUUCCCUUCUGACUGAAUUUUUGGCCACAAACUGAGCAUGAAAAAGGUUUCUCACCAGUGUGGAUUCUUGUGUGAAUUGUUAGAGCUCCCUUCCCUGAAGAUAUUUGGCCACAA
Molecule: long non-coding RNA, 203 nt
Organism: Syngnathus acus (greater pipefish)
Lineage: Eukaryota; Metazoa; Chordata; Actinopteri; Syngnathiformes; Syngnathidae
Exons: 3
Source: RefSeq, a predicted model, not a curated record